UGCGGCGCACUGGCCGCGUCAGGCUCAUAACCUGAAGGUCGCAAGUUCAAAUCUUGCCCCCGCAACCA
RNAcentral lists this transfer RNA (68 nucleotides) under Bradyrhizobium jicamae. RNAcentral describes it as "tRNA-Met". It matches the Rfam family "tRNA". Rfam says of the family: Transfer RNA (tRNA) molecules are approximately 80 nucleotides in length. Their secondary structure includes four short double-helical elements and three loops (D, anti-codon, and T loops). Further hydrogen bonds mediate the characteristic L-shaped molecular structure. tRNAs have two regions of fundamental functional importance: the anti-codon, which is responsible for specific mRNA codon recognition, and the 3' end, to which the tRNAs corresponding amino acid is attached (by aminoacyl-tRNA synthetases). tRNAs cope with the degeneracy of the genetic code in two manners: having more than one tRNA (with a specific anti-codon) for a particular amino acid; and 'wobble' base-pairing, i.e. permitting non-standard base-pairing at the 3rd anti-codon position. The record is from RNAcentral. Lineage: Bacteria; Pseudomonadati; Pseudomonadota; Alphaproteobacteria; Hyphomicrobiales; Nitrobacteraceae.